CGCCAGUGUAAAGUGGACAGUGUAGGAGAUCGCGUGCUGGGCGUCACCCGGAGGCUGCAAACUCAAAUCAUUGUUUCAUAAAAUAUCCAUUGUUUCAUAAAAUAUCCAGCGUAGACGCUCAUAGAAGUUGACCUGAAAGGACCUGCACUCCAGGUGUGAGUAGAGCCGAUGAAUGACACCUCAGAGACAACAGUGAUGAUUAAUGUAUCCUGUACAACUUCUGCCACACAGCACAGAUCUAAAAAUCACUUUGGUCCCGCAGACACACAUUUGGAAUGAAUGUGUAAUUAGAUUCUCCAGACAGCAGAUUUCAGAUUGGUACGUCAUUGGAUGCUGCUUGUGACAUCACGGUGCUGAGCAGAGUAACGCCACCUACCACAUGCUAGCAUAUAGCUGUGCGGAGAGGAAACAAAGUUGUGAAAGCGUCUACGCAGACGGAAUCCCCUCUUACAUCACUUCCUCUAUUCCAUCCUCUCUUUCCCUCAGAUGAACACUUAUUGACAGAAAGAGAUGUGUGGGUUGUUCAGUUAGUGAAUGUCUGCCUAUGUGGGUGCUUGCGUAAGUGUUUUAUACCGUUUUGCGUCCGCAAAGCCGAUCACGUCCGCACACGUGUGCAAGUCUAUGGCUAUAUGUAAUGGAUGAAACAUUCCUUGACCACACUAUGUGGGCACCAUCAUCAUCAUUAUCAUCAUCAUCCCUGAGAUAUGGAAUGCAGGACGGCAGGGUGUAGGUACACACAGUGUGAGGGCCACUAAUAUGAGAAUGACACCUCUCUGCCCACACAUGGCCUGUUCCUCACCAAUCAGAGUCACUCACAGAGGCAUGCAGGGUGGGCGGCCGUAUCACGCAGGCUAAGUAAUGAAGGUGUUGAUGGAGAACACCAGCGUUUUCACACGUCACACCGAGCAGAUUGGUCAUGUGGUGAAAAUAAAAUGACCUGUGUCAUCAGUACACAUAUACAGGAAUAGAUCACAUGCGAUGCAUCGCUCUGUGUAGCUUUAAUUAAUCCACGUGCUUGCUGAAAACAGAUAAAGUCUGUUGCUGUGAUUAAAGACGCUAUUUCUUUAAUGGCUGCAUCCGGUCCCAGCACACGCGCACAUGCACACGCAUUCAAGCACAUGGCCAAUUACCAGGUCUCUUAUUAGCUUUACAUUAAUGAUCCCCAGAGGCUUCACUUGUGUGAAAGAGCGCAGCCCCACCAACCCACACAUUGCUCACACACAUGGGCAUUUUAAUUGGCAGCCAAAUCCGACCAUAGUAAUGCUCUUACAUGUCUGACUCAUCCCGACAGCACUGCAUGCGCAACACAAUACUAUUAACUUUCAAGUCCAUUUUUUGUGCUGAUUGUUAGAUAUGAUCUCUAAUGUGAGAAACAAUAUGACUCAGGCUAAAAUAUAUUAUCCAUCGUUAAAUGAUUUAAGUAGGUAAGUAUUGGACGAAUGGGUUAUUUUAAAAAAAAUUGGAAAAUAGGAAUUGUUUAAUACAGAGUACUUGAAGAGUUCAGAUGCAAAACUCGCUAAGUGCAUCUGGCAUGAUUUUUUGUUAAUUAGCAUUUUUUAUCAGACUCUUAAUGGAUUUGCCUAAAAAAGGGUAUUUUGUAUCAUUAACCUUAAAGGUGCAGUGUGUAAUUUUUAGAAGGAUCUAUUGAUAGAAAUGCAAAGUAAUAUACAAAACUAUAUUAUCAGUGGUGUAUAAAGACCUUACAUAAUGAACCGUUAUGUGUUUAUUAACUUAGAACGAGACCUUUUUAUCUACAUACACAGAGGGUCCCCUUACAUGGAAGUCGCCAUUUGUGCCGCCAUUUUUCUACAGAAGCCCUUAACGGACAAAUUUUUUUACCAAGUUGUCUCCGACGAUAACAUGUUUGUCCAGUGGCGGCUACCCUAGCUUCUCUAUGUGUUUCAAUAGCGAGGGGUGAGCAGUGGACUAAGCCGUUGGUUGCAAUUCGCAACCUCACCACUAGAUGGCGCUAAAAUUACACACUGCACCUUUAAAGGGACACUCCGCUUUAAAAAAAAAAUGCUUAUUUUCCAGCUCCCCUAGAGUUAAACAAUUGAUUUUAUUGUUUUGGAAUCCAUUCAGCUGAUCUCUGGGGCUGGCGGUACUACUUUUAGCAUAUAGAACAAUCCAUUGAAUUUGAUUAGACCAUUAGCAUCGUGCUCAAAAAUGACCAAAGAGUUUCGAUAUUUUUCCUAUUUAAAACUUGACUCUUCUGUAGAUACAUCGUGUACUAAUACCGAUAGAAAAUUAAAAGUUGUGAUUUUCUAGGCCAAUAUGACAAGGAACUAUACUCUUAUUC
Molecule: long non-coding RNA, 2299 nt
Organism: Misgurnus anguillicaudatus (oriental weatherfish)
Lineage: Eukaryota; Metazoa; Chordata; Actinopteri; Cypriniformes; Cobitidae
Source: RefSeq, a predicted model, not a curated record